RNAcentral lists this ribosomal RNA (270 nucleotides) under uncultured archaeon. RNAcentral's name for it is "partial 16S ribosomal RNA". It matches the Rfam family "Archaeal small subunit ribosomal RNA", at positions 477 to 747 of the family's 1478-position model. The record is from RNAcentral.
CAGCACCUCAAGUGGUCAGGAUGAUUAUUGGGCCUAAAGCAUCCGUAGCCGGCGCUGUAAGUUUUCGGUUAAAUCUGUACGCUCAACGUACAGGCUGCCGGGAAUACUGCAGCGCUAGGGAGUGGGAGAGGUAGACGGUACUCGGUAGGAAGGGGUAAAAUCCUUUGAUCUAUUGAUGACCACCUGUGGCGAAGGCGGUAUACCAGAACACGUCCGACGGUGAGGGAUGAAAGCUGGGGGAGCAAACCGGAUUAGAUACCCGUGUAGUCC